UACGUAGGGUGCAGGCGUUAAUCGGAAUUACUGGGCGUAAAGCGUGCGCAGGCGGUUUGCUAAGACAGGUGUGAAAUCCCCGGGCUUAACCUGGGAACUGCGCUUGUAACUGGCAAGCUAGAGUGCGGCAGAGGGGGGUGGAAUUCCACGUGUAGCAGUGAAAUGCGUAGAGAUGUGGAGGAACACCGAUGGCGAAGGCAGCCCCCUGGGCUAACACUGACGCUCAUGCACGAAAGCGUGGGGAGCAAACAGG
Molecule: ribosomal RNA, 253 nt
Filed under: uncultured bacterium
Lineage: Bacteria
Description: partial 16S ribosomal RNA
Rfam family: Bacterial small subunit ribosomal RNA
Source: RNAcentral